This 670-nucleotide ribosomal RNA is filed under the name Hoeflea sp. RNAcentral's name for it is "bacterial SSU rRNA". It matches the Rfam family "Bacterial small subunit ribosomal RNA", at positions 56 to 776 of the family's 1533-position model. The record is from RNAcentral. Lineage: Bacteria; Pseudomonadati; Pseudomonadota; Alphaproteobacteria; Hyphomicrobiales; Rhizobiaceae.
UGCAGUCGACGCCCCUUCGGGGGAGUGGCAGACGGGUGAGUAACGCGUGGGAAUCUACCCAGCUCUACGGAAUAACUGAGGGAAACUUCAGCUAAUACCGUAUACGUCCUUCGGGAGAAAGAUUUAUCGGAGUUGGAUGAGCCCGCGUUGGAUUAGCUAGUUGGUGGGGUAAUGGCCUACCAAGGCGACGAUCCAUAGCUGGUCUGAGAGGAUGAUCAGCCACACUGGGACUGAGACACGGCCCAGACUCCUACGGGAGGCAGCAGUGGGGAAUAUUGGACAAUGGGCGCAAGCCUGAUCCAGCCAUGCCGCGUGAGUGAUGAAGGCCCUAGGGUUGUAAAGCUCUUUCAACGGUGAAGAUAAUGACGGUAACCGUAGAAGAAGCCCCGGCUAACUUCGUGCCAGCAGCCGCGGUAAUACGAAGGGGGCUAGCGUUGUUCGGAAUUACUGGGCGUAAAGCGCGCGUAGGCGGAUUGAUCAGUCAGGGGUGAAAUCCCGGGGCUCAACCCCGGAACUGCCUUUGAUACUGUCAAUCUAGAGGUCGAGAGAGGUGAGUGGAAUUCCGAGUGUAGAGGUGAAAUUCGUAGAUAUUCGGAGGAACACCAGUGGCGAAGGCGGCUCACUGGCUCGAUACUGACGCUGAGGUGCGAAAGCGUGGGGAGCAAACAGG